This is an unclassified non-coding RNA of Callithrix jacchus (white-tufted-ear marmoset), 300 nucleotides long. It matches the Rfam family "Metazoan signal recognition particle RNA". Rfam says of the family: The signal recognition particle (SRP) is a universally conserved ribonucleoprotein. It is involved in the co-translational targeting of proteins to membranes. Lineage: Eukaryota; Metazoa; Chordata; Mammalia; Primates; Cebidae. The record is from Ensembl.
GCCAGGCACAGUGGCACAUGCCUGUAGUCCCAGCUACUCAGGAGGCUGAGGUGGGAGGAUCACUUGAGCCCAGGAGUUCUGGGCUAUAGUGUGCUAUGCCAAUCGGGUGUCCACACUGAGUUUGGCAUCAAUAUGGUGACCUCCUGGGAGCGGGGGACCACCAGGUUGCCUAAGGAGGGGUGAACCAGCCCAGGUCAGAAAUGGAGCAGGUCAAAACUCCCGUGCUGAUCAGUAGUGGGAUCAUGCCUGUGAAUAGCCACUGCACUCCAGCCUGGGCAACAUAGUGAGACCCCAUCUCUG